This 491-nucleotide ribosomal RNA is filed under the name uncultured bacterium. RNAcentral describes it as "partial 16S ribosomal RNA". It matches the Rfam family "Bacterial small subunit ribosomal RNA", at positions 28 to 507 of the family's 1533-position model. The record is from RNAcentral.
GAUGAACGCUGGCUACAGGCUUAACACAUGCAAGUCGAGGGGAAACGACGGGGAUGCUUGCUUCCCCGGGCGUCGACCGGCGCACGGGUGAGUAACGCGUAUCCAACCUGCCUCUGACUGAGGGAUAACCCGUCGAAAGUCGGCCUAAUACCUCAUGGUAUCGUCUGCGGGCAUCCAACGACGAUUAAAGAUUUCAUCGGUCAGGGAUGGGGAUGCGUCUGAUUAGCUUGUUGGCGGGGUAACGGCCCACCAAGGCUACGAUCAGUAGGGGUUCUGAGAGGAAGGUCCCCCACAUUGGAACUGAGACACGGUCCAAACUCCUACGGGAGGCAGCAGUGAGGAAUAUUGGUCAAUGGGCGAGAGCCUGAACCAGCCAAGUAGCGUGCAGGAAGACGGCCCUAUGGGUUGUAAACUGCUUUUAUGCGGGGAUAAAGUGAGGGACGUGUCCCUCAUUGCAGGUACCGCAUGAAUAAGGACCGGCUAAUUCCGUG